This 258-nucleotide unclassified non-coding RNA is filed under the name uncultured Nectriaceae. Its description in RNAcentral is "sequence contains 5.8S rRNA gene". The stretch from base 1 to 53 matches the Rfam family "5.8S ribosomal RNA", at positions 102 to 154 of the family's 154-position model. Lineage: Eukaryota; Fungi; Ascomycota; Sordariomycetes; Hypocreales; Nectriaceae. The record is from RNAcentral.
GAACGCACAUUGCGCCCGCCAGUAUUCUGGCGGGCAUGCCUGUUCGAGCGUCAUUUCAACCCUCAAGCCCCCGGGCUUGGUGUUGGGGAUCGGCGUGCCCUCGCGGCGCGCCGUCCCCGAAAUCUAGUGGCGGUCUCGCUGUAGCUUCCUCUGCGUAGUAGCACACCUCGCACUGGAGAGCAGCGCGGCCACGCCGUUAAACCCCCCACUUCUGAAAGGUUGACCUCGGAUCAGGUAGGAAUACCCGCUGAACUUAAG